Mustela lutreola (European mink) is the source of this 483-nucleotide long non-coding RNA. RefSeq lists it as uncharacterized. The transcript has 2 exons. The record is from RefSeq and is a predicted model, not a curated record. NCBI's taxonomy places the organism in Eukaryota, Metazoa, Chordata, Mammalia, Carnivora, Mustelidae.
CUCAGCGCCGCCCCCGCGCCGGACCCCGACCCGGGACGGGUCCUGGCCCCGCCCUCCCUCCGCCCGCGUGCGCCCGGCGGUCCCGGCUCGGCCUCCGGGGCGCACAGACGGACAGAAGGUAGAAUGGCUUCGGGCUGCAUCGGCCGGCGGUAGCGAGAACCCUAGCAAGUCGCUAUAGCCGGAAUCCCCCGGCCUCUACGUCAGAUCACCCUCCGUAUUCGACCGCGCGCCUCAUCCCCCACGAUCCCCCCGCGGCUUGCCCUUCGUUCCUGCUCCCCUGAACAAGAAUCCUGUUGGUCGGCCCAGCAAAGAAUUACCUACCCUCUUAGGGAUUUUUCCAUCCGCUGCCCCGACCCCCGCCUCCCCACCUUGGCUAGAAAUCCCCCUCGGCCAUGCUGUGUUUGCAAGGGACCCUGCUUCUGUACCGAGGUCUCUUUCUCCCUCUGUUGCAAAGUCCUAAAUAAAAUCUCUUCUUACUGCUAA